UACGUAGGGUGCGAGCGUUGUCCGGAAUUAUUGGGCGUAAAGAGCUCGUAGGCGGCUUGUCACGUCGGUUGUGAAAUCCCCGGGCUCAACCCGGGAACUGCGUCCGAUACUGGAAGGCUUGAAUCCGGGAGAGGGAUGUGGAAUUCCAGGUGUAGCGGUGAAAUGCGCAGAUAUCAGGAGGAACACCGAUGGCGAAGGCAGCCCCCUGGGACCUGACUGACGCUCAUGUACGAAAGCGUGGGGAGCAAACAGG
Molecule: ribosomal RNA, 253 nt
Filed under: uncultured bacterium
Lineage: Bacteria
Description: partial 16S ribosomal RNA
Rfam family: Bacterial small subunit ribosomal RNA
Source: RNAcentral